Molecule: microRNA precursor, 157 nt
Filed under: Pelobates cultripes (western spadefoot toad)
Lineage: Eukaryota; Metazoa; Chordata; Amphibia; Anura; Pelobatidae
Source: RNAcentral
GCAGACACAUUCUAGCCAAUCAGCAGCAGACCCUCCCUCCCAGACCCUCCCACCUCCUGGACAGCAUCCAUUGUGAAGCUGUAUUCUUAGUGAGCUGUCCAGGAGGUGGGAGGGUCUGGGAGGGAGGGUCUGCUGCUGAUUGGCUGGAAUGUGUCUG